ACAUGUCUUGAAUACCAACCCUACAUAAUCCUCUUUCUUUCAAUCAAGUGUGGUGAAGGGGAAAAAAUACAAACAUGCAGAACCUAAGUGUCCCAAAGUGAGGAGGGAGUCUGACCCCCAAACAGUAAUUUCACAUCAGAACCAGACUCGGUCCCCACAGCUCACGUGUUAGCAGGCACUCAGCACUACACACUCAUAAACUCACUGUGCGGUUAGUAGUGCUAAUGCAUAUAGAUAAAUCUACUUGGUCACCUAAAGUUUUUAAAUUAACAGUGCAACUCUAUAAAAUAAGCUACAAUGGAAUAUUUACACAUAAGUAACCUAAUAGAGAAGGUCUAGAAAGUUAAAUUAUUUUAUUUAAGGAACAAAAAGUAAGAUUUAUAUAUCCCCUUAAAAAUGUAAGAAGGGAUUUGAAUCCAAUACAUUUCCAACAUAAAAGAAUGUACUUAAAUCAUCUAUCAGCCUCUGAUAUUGCAACUAAGUCUUGUCACAAAAUGCUCCACCUUAGCCUUUCCUGGUGCAGACUACUGAGCAGCACCAGCAACUGCUCUCUCUCCCCCUCACCGUUUUCACCCUCAAUAUCAAUACUGAUGACCAGGAAUAAUAGAUACAAGUUCAGUAACUCGAUAAUUUUCUCUCUCCCUUGUCCAACAACAGCAUACAUAAAAUACCAACCGGAUAAAAAGAUCAAAAUAUAAAGCAAGAAAAACUUGUUUGAAAAAUUUCAUAGGCUGUAACUCAGAAAUAGGACAUUUGCCUGGACUCACAAAUCCCUGGAUUCUAACCCCAGCACUCUAAAAAAAAAAAAAAAAUCAUAAAUGG
This 822-nucleotide long non-coding RNA is filed under the name Rattus norvegicus (Norway rat). RNAcentral's name for it is "long non-coding RNA NONRATT009486". Lineage: Eukaryota; Metazoa; Chordata; Mammalia; Rodentia; Muridae. The record is from RNAcentral.